Peromyscus californicus insignis is the source of this 1463-nucleotide long non-coding RNA. RefSeq lists it as uncharacterized. The transcript is spliced from 5 exons. The record is from RefSeq and is a predicted model, not a curated record. NCBI's taxonomy places the organism in Eukaryota, Metazoa, Chordata, Mammalia, Rodentia, Cricetidae.
GCGGUGGGCUCACCUCCUCCCUAGCCUCACACCUACGUUCUUUCCUAGAGGUGUGUUACCCUAGAAAUUCCUCUCCCUUCCAGGAUUUCUCUGCUGCUGCAGCCAAUUUUCCUUCCUGCCGUGAAACUCCUCAGCAGACCCUGCCAGAAACAUCUCUUUCUCAUUUAUUUCGGGCUCCAGAGAGGCAGCGAGAGGAAGAACCCUGCAGAUGGCUCCCUGGUCUUUUCAUCAACAUGACAGCCUCCUGAGCACACACGCUGUGGAAGCCAGGGCCUGGCUCCAGAAGAGGCAGAGCCCAAUCCAGAACAGAACUGGCUUCUUCGGGAUUCCAGUGUAGACCGAGGACCAGCAGCUCUGAAGACUUCCCUGGGACUCCAGCGCCACACUGAGACAGCUGAGACAUCCAGUCUCAUGGACCGAACAACUCCAGAUCCUGGGUCUUCCCAUCAGGAGGCAGCCAUUCAUGAAUGAUUUUCAGCGUUGGAGUCACAGAAGAACCAUAGGAAAGAAAAGACCACUCCAUUCAUCUCAGAGAUGCCACUAGUCAACUUCUUCGAGAUUCUGGCAUAUACUGAAGACCAGCUGAGACAUCAGCCUGGUGGACUGAACAACUACUGGAUUCUUGGACCGUCUGUUUGAUAGACAGCCAUUGUUGAACUAGCUGGACCAUAGCAUGUUUACGCCCAUAGAUUGGUGCUGCUCACAACGCUGGCCGGGGAAGUCUCUUUCUGCGGUGCUCAGCAGUUAACGGAGAGACUCUUAACUAACUGGUCACAGUGCUGCGAAUAGUAACCACUGAGUGACCAUCUUAAGUGGGACAUUUGUAUCGACACCCCAAGGCUCUGGGGUGGAAGGAAUGUAAGCCCUGGAGAAUGGGGAGGAGUGCUGCGGCAUGCUGUCUUCUGGACACGCCCUGGCCACUGUCGCGGUGAACUCACCGCAGAUGUUCUCACCUGCACGACAUCAAGCCAACAAGAUCAGCCAACGGGGUAGCAGGCAGGCACAUUGGCUGUAGGGAGAGAAGACCUGAAGGAGGGAGGGCAUGGGUCCGGUGGCUGAGAGGGUGUGGUAGUUUGAAUGUAGUUGGUCCCCGUGACCUCACAGGGAGUGGCACUAUUAGGAGGUGUGGCCUUGUUGGAGGAAGGGUGUCACUGUGGGGGAGGGCUUUGAGGUUUCUUGUGCUUGGAAUACUGCCCAGUGAGUCAGUCAACUUCCUGUUGCCUGUGAGAUGUAGGAAUUUCAGGUAUUCCAAUACUACAUCUGCCUGCAUGCCUCUAUGUUCCCUGUCAUGCUGAUAAUGGACUGAACCCCUGAAACUGUAAGCGAGCCACCCCAAUGAAAUGUUUUCUUUAUAAGAGUUGCCAUGGUCAUGGUGUCUCUUCACAGCAAUAGAAACCUAAACAAAGACAGGGUGGGGUGGGGUGGAGUGUUGGUAAUAGUGGAUAUGAUCAAGAUACAUUGUA